CAGAAUUAUAUGGUUUUGAUUUAUAAUCACUGUAUCAAACUGUGUUUAGAGUAUCUGAAAUCAGUUUAAAUCAGAGGUUUUGUUCUGAAUCUGCUGAUUGGAGAACAGUACAGGACAUCGCUUUAUUAUACGGAGAAUGGGACGAGUUAUUCUACGUCAUGAAGGAGGAGGAGGAGGAGACGAGACUGCGUAGCUUUUCGGAAGCUGCUUCCGCAGUUUCGAGACAGACAGAGCGACGCUGGCUGGAGAGCAGAGCUCCACUACUGACCUGAGUUCACUAUUCACAAUAAUGAAUAGCUAUUGUUGGAAAUGCAAACAAUUCAUUUAUUUCUUUAAAACAAUUACUAUAGACUCUGUAUGAUGGAUGUUUUCUGAUGGGCUCUGUAUGAUGGAGGUCAGAUAAGGUGGUGGAGUUGUGAGAGGUGCUCGUGUUGCGGAGCGGAGUGGAGUUCCAGGAAGUUCAGCAGUAAGAAUGAAGGACCAGCAGAACUGGUAUUCAGGAAAUCCCCAGUGCAUCAUACUGAUCUAUAGAACCACAGUAUCUGAGCAUCACUCUGAACUCCAGUUAAUCCAGUAUGGAGGGUUACAGUGUUUCCCUCCAGCUCCUGCAGUUUAACCACCUCUUCUCCAGCUGUGAACAGCACACCUGAAACAGUGUUGUGUAAAUCCCUCUCUGAAGCCCCUGUUCAAAACUAAAUCCAGAAAACCUGCUUAAAGGUGAGAUCCAGCUUCUGUCUCAGAUCCUGAAACUACUAUACAAAUUCUAAUAACACUCAUUUACUGAUCCUGCUGUUCUUCCAUUAGCUCCUUUAUUAUGUUCUAGAACCCACUAAACUCAGUUUAAUGCUCUUAAAUGUUUAAAAACUACCCCAAAAAACCUUCAGUAGAAAGAUUCAGUGCUUCUUCACAAUAAGAAAACAUCAUUAAAACCCUACAGUCCUUCUCUACUGUAGGUAAACACACAUUAACACACGAUAUUUACAUUAAAUUCAGUCAGAAUUCGGACUGAACGCGUGUGUGAUCAUUAUCAUAAUUCCAGGAAAAGCAGACUUACAGUGAAUCAGGCUGAAAACAGCUCCAGUAAUCCUGAAUAUGAACAUCUUAAUGUGCCAUUUUUAACAGUAAUCUAUGUAUCAACAGUCUGAACACUGCAGUGAGUCCUCUCAGCUUCACACUGAGGAUAAAAUUACAGAUUAUUCUCUCGCUCUGGGCUGGACAAGACUGGGCAUGCGCAUUC
Astyanax mexicanus (Mexican tetra) is the source of this 1237-nucleotide long non-coding RNA. RefSeq lists it as uncharacterized. Lineage: Eukaryota; Metazoa; Chordata; Actinopteri; Characiformes; Acestrorhamphidae. The transcript has 4 exons. The record is from RefSeq and is a predicted model, not a curated record.